CUUGUGAUCCCUCUCUCUCAAAAUAAAUAAACUUAAAAAAAAAAAAAAAGAAAUACAUUUCAUGAAGCUAUAGCUGCCAUACACACCGAUUGCUCUGAUGGAUCUGGGCAGAGUAAACUGAAAACAUCCUGGGAAGGAGUCACCAUCCUAGAUGCCAUGAAGAACAUUGGGGAUUCAUGGGAAGAGGUCACGAUUCAACACGAACAGGAGUUGGGAAGAAGCUGGUUCCAGCCCCAGGGAGGACUUUGAGGGGUUCAGGACUCCAGGGGAGGAAGUCGCUGCAGACGUGUGGAAACAGGAGAACCGGAAGCAGAAGGGGGGCCUGAAGACGGCAGGGAGCUGGGCCACCUGGGAUAAAACGGAUGAGGAUUUGCUUUCCAUGGAUGAACAAAGAAGUGGUUUCCUGAGAUGGACCGUGCUCCUGGCAAUGAUGCUGUGAAGACUGUUGAAAUGAUAACACAGCACUGAAAAUAUACUACAGGAACUUAGCUGACAGAGCAGCGGCAGGGUGAGAGAGGAGGGACUCCAGUUUUGAAAGAAGUUCUGUGCGUAAAAUGCUACCAAACUGCAUCACGUGCUACAGAGAAAUUGUUCAUGAAAGAAAGAGUCAGCUGAUUUGGAAAACUUCAUUAUCUUAUUUUAAAUCACAGCUGUCCCAACUUUCACAACCACCACCCUGAUCAGUUGAUUAGCCAUCAACAUUGAGGCAAGACCCUCCAACAAUUGAAAGAUUACAACUUGCUGAAAGUUCAGAUAAUGGUUGAUGGUUUUUAAUCAAUCAUUUUAAAAUUAAGGCAUAUACAUUUUUUAAAAAAGUUUACUUGAGAGAGAGAGCAGGGAAGGGGCAGAGAGAGAGAGAGAGAGAGAGACAGAGAGAAUCCUGAGCAGGCUCUGCGCCGUCAGCUCAGAGCCCAAUGCGGGGCUCUAUCCCCAUGAACCAUGAGAUUGUGAGCCGAAAUCAAAAGUUGGAUUAACCAACCAAGACACUCAGGCUCCCCUACAUUGCUUUUUAUAAAGACAUAAUGCCAUUGCACACUUAGUAGAUGAUAGUGUAAACAUAACUUUUAUAUGCACUGGAAACGACAAAAUUAUUAGCACCACACUCUAACCAACUGAGCUAACCCGCCACUUUGGAAACGACAAAAUUAGUUUGACUCGUUUGAUUGUGAUGUUUGCUUUAUGAUAGUGGCCUGGAACCAAACCUGCAACAUCUUCGAGGUGUGCUUGUACCUUAGAGAAAUGGGCUAAUCUGCACACCAGUGGUUGUGUACAAAAAUGCUCCAUCCAGCAGCCUUGUCAUAGCCAAAAAUCGAAAAGUACCAAAGUAACCAUCAAUGAUAUAAUGAACAUAAGUUAACCUAUUUAUAUAAGGAUGCACUAUCCAACAGUAUGAAAAAAUACACAAUACAGACUAAUUUCAUAUUACAAUGUUCAACAAUAUAACAAAAGGGCAAAAAGUCAUGUAAAGUUAACAAAAAGUAAGUUAUCGUUUAUUGAUGCAUACAUAGGCAAAACUACAACGGAAACACUGAUUAUCAUAAAAGUCAGCGGUAGAUAGGAAGGAUGAUUUUGAUUGGGAUGUUACUUAAGUGCUUGCAAUGUUCUACGUCUUGAUCAGUUAUUUCCUUUUUCUUUUCCUUUUUUCCUUGUCUCCUAUUUAUUUAUUAAAUGUUUAUUUCUGAGAGAGAGGCAGCGAGGGAGGGAGGGAAGGAGAGACAGGGCACUUAAUGGGCCUAGAUCAGGCAUCAAAGGAAAAAAAAAUCAUUCAAAAGGCAAGGAAAUCAAGGCUGAGGAAAAAGUAAAUUAUUACAAAAAGAAAAUACAGAAGAAACACCAAGCUACCUCCUAAGUGGCUUUUAGACAUGCAGCGGCCAUUCCUUCCUCGUCCAGGCGCCGCUCGGAGAAGAGGGCACAACUAGGGCCGCGGGAAGAUUCGUGAGUCCCGACCGCCCCAGGCGAAACCACAUUCACACCCGUCCACCCCCACCCCGGCGCCAGGCACCUACCCACACACGCGAGGGGGCUCUAGGACCCUGUGGCCGACUCCGCCCAGUGCAGGUGCGGGCCGAGUGAAGGGAGCCGGGGCCGCGGGCGCACGCUGCAGGCAAGCGCCCCUGACCACACAACACAGCCUGCCUGGCAGCACGGCGCCCGCCGAGCACACGAGCGCGCACCUGGGUCCCGCCGCCGCCGCCGCCCUGCCCGGGGUUCUGGAAGCCUCUGCUCUCGGCCUCCUCUGGGCGCAGGCAGGGACGACCCACACUGCUUGGGGCACCCGACGCCCAGAGGGGCCAGAUUCUGCCGCCAAACCCAGAAGAGGCUCCCAAAGCGCGCGGUAACGAGUUGCGCCGCACGGCAGGUGGGCAAAGUGGUGCAGCGCCGACUCAGCGGCUCAGGCCCGGAGGCUGCCACCUGCGGUUCCGCCAGCACCACGCCCACUCCGAGAUGCAGCAGCCACGCCUGGCCGUAGAGUCCCGGGCGCCCCUGGAAGAAGCCGGGUCCUUCCCGGCCGCCAGGCGCGGACCAGCUGGCCACACCGCCAGCACCUGGAGGAAGUCGCGCCGGGCCGUAAAAGCGGCGGUUCCCGCGAGAGAGACGCCUGGGUAACGACGCGCCGAGCCGUAAAAGCAGCGGUUCCCACGGGGACGCCUGGGUAACGACGCACAGCGCCGAAAAGCGGCCCGACUGAAGAGAGAAGCUUAGCUCAGGGGGCUGGAACUUGGAAAAUGUCGCGCGAAGUAAGAGCCGCUGGACCCGCGAGGUGGGUGGUCGUCCUACGGCUCAGUCUCUGGCCUGCGGUGGUCUCUUAGGAGUCCUGAGCGUUCUGGCCCCCAGUGGUCCGAGUUCGAACGGAAGCGCACCGGACUUGGGCUUUCUCGGUGUGGCCAAUACUGGGUGGAAGGAGGACGUGGGAUUUAGGUGGGGAAGGGGCGGUGUCUGCGGGCCCCGGAGAGGGGAACUAGCUGUGUUGUGAGCUUGGGCCCAUAGGAAUAAGCGUUUGGAGUGGGUUGGGGCUGAGGGAAGCUUCGGGUGUUUUAAAGUGAGUCCGUGUUGGGGUGCUGGGUGAGUAGGAAUCUCCGAGGAUACUGGACGGCGUGUUUGUGAGUAGGAGGGCCGUUGACCGCUGACGUUCCUCUUUGACCAGGCAAAAACAUCAGUGCAUUUCAGAUUUGGAGAGGCAAAAAUCAUUUAAAAUAGAUCAAAAUAGACGUUUAUUUUGAUAUGCACGCAAGGUCCGAAUUUGUUUUUGAACAAGAAAGAUUGAAAAAAAAUUUUUUUUAAAUAUCUUUCAUUGAUUUUUGAGAGAGAGCGAGCUAGCGGAGCCAGCAUUAGCAGGGGAGGGGCAGAGAGAGAAGGAGACACAGAAUCUGAAGCAGCUGCAGGCUCUGAACUGUCUGCACAGAGUCCCACUCCGGGCUGGAACCCAGGGAACAGCGGGGUCAUGACCUGAGCGGCAGUGGAUUGCUCAACGACUGAGUCCCCCAGGAAUGUUCAACCGGCAGUGUAUACAAAGAGCUCAGAAUUGAGGAAGGCGGCACGUUAUCUAGGUCAGGUAGUGUGCUCAUUUUCUGAAGAGACAACUUUGACUCAAUAGAAUUUAAGCUGAACAUAUGGGACCUGGAGGCUGGACCGGUUUUCUGUGAUCACAGACCACUUAAAAAAAUAGCCCUGGUGUAAGUCCACAGCAGCCCCAAUGCCGUGUACUCCCAUGUUCCUCAUGGUGACCUGUACUGAAAAAUCCCAGAAGGACCAACUUCUAGGACGGUUUCUUCACAUCUCUGUACCCUUGGUGCUUAUCACAAGGCCUCAUAAUAAGGGCUUUCAAAGAUUUGAAUUAAACUUUAAGAGGAAACCAAAGUCACACUGCUGGCAAGGAAAGGAACAGGAUUCCAAUCUAUCAGCCCUAGGUAAACCUAGAACCCACAGGCUGGGAGACACGUGCACUGAAAUAAGGGGGUCGGUGAGAGGAAGACUCAACGGAAGGCAGGCAGGGUGAGGAGAAAAGCUUUUUAGCUCCUCUGAAAUAAAAUAUUAAUCCAA
Felis catus (domestic cat) is the source of this 4041-nucleotide long non-coding RNA. RefSeq lists it as uncharacterized. The record is from RefSeq and is a predicted model, not a curated record. The transcript has 3 exons. Lineage: Eukaryota; Metazoa; Chordata; Mammalia; Carnivora; Felidae.